UACGGGGGGGGCAAGCGUUGUUCGGAAUUACUGGGCGUAAAGGGCGCGUAGGCGGUGUUCUAAGUUAGAUGUGAAAACUCUGGGCUCAACCCAGAGCCUGCAUCUAAAACUGGAGUGCUAGAGUUCUGGAGGGGGUAGCGGAAUUCCUGGUGUAGCGGUGAAAUGCGUAGAUAUCAGGAGGAACACCGGUGGCGAAGGCGAGUCUCUGGACAUUUCCUGACGCUGAGGCACGAAAGCCAGGGGAGCAAACGGG
This 253-nucleotide ribosomal RNA is filed under the name uncultured bacterium. RNAcentral's name for it is "partial 16S ribosomal RNA". It matches the Rfam family "Bacterial small subunit ribosomal RNA", at positions 524 to 776 of the family's 1533-position model. The record is from RNAcentral.